RNAcentral lists this ribosomal RNA (445 nucleotides) under uncultured Syntrophorhabdus sp. RNAcentral describes it as "bacterial SSU rRNA". It matches the Rfam family "Bacterial small subunit ribosomal RNA", at positions 940 to 1382 of the family's 1533-position model. Lineage: Bacteria; Pseudomonadati; Thermodesulfobacteriota; Syntrophorhabdia; Syntrophorhabdales; Syntrophorhabdaceae. The record is from RNAcentral.
UGUGGUUAAUUCGACGCAACGCGAAAACCUUACCUGGGCUUGACAUGGAGAGAAUCUUCUGGAAACAGAAGAGUGCCUCGGUAAGAGGAGCUCUCACACAGGUGCUGCAUGGCUGUCGUCAGCUCGUGCCGUGAGGUGUUGGGUUAAGUCCCGCAACGAGCGCAACCCUCAUCUCUAGUUGCCAUCAUUAAGUUGGGCACUCUAGAGAAACUGCCACAGUUAAUGCGGAGGAAGGUGGGGAUGACGUCAAGUCCUCAUGGCCCUUAUGUCCAGGGCUACACACGUGCUACAAUGGGCGGUACAAAGGGUCGCAAACCCGUAAGGGGGAGCAAAUCCACUUAAAGCCGUCCUCAGUUCGGAUUGAGGUCUGCAACUCGACCUCAUGAAGCUGGAAUCGCUAGUAAUCGCGGAUCAGUAUGCCGCGGUGAAUACGUUCCCGGGCCUU